This is a long non-coding RNA of Tripterygium wilfordii, 599 nucleotides long. RefSeq lists it as uncharacterized. The transcript is spliced from 3 exons. The record is from RefSeq and is a predicted model, not a curated record. NCBI's taxonomy places the organism in Eukaryota, Viridiplantae, Streptophyta, Magnoliopsida, Celastrales, Celastraceae.
UCCCCUUAUGCUUUUAAAUGCUUUUCUUCUCAUUCUUGCAUUGAUUGAACGACGGUUUAUAUCUAUUGACGCUUCUCCAAGAAAAAGUUCUAUGAUAUCUCCCUUCAUUCUUCCCUUUGAGGUAUUGAACAAAAUAGCAGCUUGAGGCUAUGGAAAAGGAAUGACAUGUUUCUGAUAUCAGGACUGGGGAUAUUGUGGACAUUAAAUUGUUGUCUACAAAGGUGUUGUUAUGUCUAGACAAAAUGCCAGCGUCCACAACACCAUUUGGAUUCGAAGAAUUUUGUUGGCGAAAUUGUCUUCCCUCUACAAAUAUUUCCCUCCCAUCAUUUCUAAGGCGUAGUAAAUAAACUAUCCUCAUUGGAUUGAUCUGCUCAAGUUUUCUUACAAUUAUGCAUUCAAUUCACUUUGUAGGACUAUGCUCUGAGUAUGGUCUCAAAACCUAUUUUGCUGAGCUAGACUGGCAAGGAAUAUUUACCAAGAAGCUCCGUGGAGGUUAUCCAAAAAAACAAUUGCAUCUAUUAUUAGGAAAGAAGCUAACCAAGCUGUAUCUAUUAUUUAGGAACCAAGUUGCUCAUGUAGGUGUUUUUUUCCUUCAUUCA